GCCUGGGUGGCUCAGUCAGUUAAGCAUCUGACUUCGGCUCAGGUCAUGAUCUCAUGGUUUAUGAGAUCGAGUCUCGUAUCGGGCU
This 85-nucleotide transfer RNA is filed under the name Felis catus (domestic cat). It matches the Rfam family "tRNA". From Rfam's summary of the family: Transfer RNA (tRNA) molecules are approximately 80 nucleotides in length. Their secondary structure includes four short double-helical elements and three loops (D, anti-codon, and T loops). The record is from Rfam by way of RNAcentral. Lineage: Eukaryota; Metazoa; Chordata; Mammalia; Carnivora; Felidae.